AUAUCAGUAAGCGGAGGAGAAGAAAAUAACAAUGAUUACCUCAGUAGCGGCGAGUGAAGAGGUACCAGCCCAAGAUGUUAAUCUGUAAUUAAGUUACGGAAUUGUAAUCUAAAGAAUUUCUCAGAAAGUGGAGGCUCGUCAUAGGUUCUUUGGAACAAGACACCACAGAGGGUGAAAGUCCCGUCUUUGGAUGAGCCGAAGCAAUAUGAGACGUUUCUAAGAGUCGGGUAGUUUGGGAACGCUGCCCCAAGUGGGAGAUAAACUUCUCCUAAGGCUAAAUAUAAGAUAGGAGACCGAUAGCGCACAAGUA
Molecule: ribosomal RNA, 310 nt
Filed under: uncultured eukaryote
Lineage: Eukaryota
Description: partial large subunit ribosomal RNA
Rfam family: Eukaryotic large subunit ribosomal RNA
Source: RNAcentral